UACGUAGGGUGCAAGCGUUAAUCGGAAUUACUGGGCGUAAAGUGUGCGCAGGCGGCACCGCAAGUCGAGUGUGAAAGCCCCGGGCUUAACUUGGGAAUUGCGCUCGAAACUAUGGUGCUGGAGUGUGGCAGAGGAAGGUGGAAUUCCACGUGUAGCGGUGAAAUGCGUAGAGAUGUGGAGGAACACCGAUGGCGAAGGCAGCCUUCUGGGCCAACACUGACGCUCAUGCACGAAAGCGUGGGGAGCAAACAGG
Molecule: ribosomal RNA, 253 nt
Filed under: uncultured bacterium
Lineage: Bacteria
Description: partial 16S ribosomal RNA
Rfam family: Bacterial small subunit ribosomal RNA
Source: RNAcentral